Molecule: ribosomal RNA, 253 nt
Filed under: uncultured bacterium
Lineage: Bacteria
Description: partial 16S ribosomal RNA
Rfam family: Archaeal small subunit ribosomal RNA
Source: RNAcentral
UACCAGCACCCCGAGUGGUCGGGACGUUUAUUGGGCCUAAAGCAUCCGUAGCCGGUUCUUUAAGUCCUCCGUUAAAUCCACCUGCUUAACAGAUGGGCUGCGGAGGAUACUAUAGAGCUAGGAGGCGGGAGAGGCAAGCGGUACUCAGUGGGUAGGGGUAAAAUCCGUUGAUCCAUUGAAGACCACCAGUGGCGAAGGCGGCUUGCCAGAACGCGCUCGACGGUGAGGGAUGAAAGCUGGGGGAGCAAACCGG